GAUGGGAGCUUGCUCCCUGAUGUUAGCGGCGGACGGGUGAGUAACACGUGGGUAACCUGCCUGUAAGACUGGGAUAACUCCGGGAAACCGGGGCUAAUACCGGAUGGUUGUCUGAACCGCAUGGUUCAGACAUAAAAGGUGGCUUCGGCUACCACUUACAGAUGGACCCGCGGCGCAUUAGCUAGUUGGUGAGGUAACGGCUCACCAAGGCGACGAUGCGUAGCCGACCUGAGAGGGUGAUCGGCCACACUGGGACUGAGACACGGCCCAGACUCCUACGGGAGGCAGCAGUAGGGAAUCUUCCGCAAUGGACGAAAGUCUGACGGAGCAACGCCGCGUGAGUGAUGAAGGUUUUCGGAUCGUAAAGCUCUGUUGUUAGGGAAGAACAAGUGCCGUUCAAAUAGGGCGGCACCUUGACGGUACCUAACCAGAAAGCCACGGCUAACUACGUGCCAGCAGCCGCGGUAAUACGUAGGUGGCAAGCGUUGUCCGGAAUUAUUGGGCGUAAAGGGCUCGCAGGCGGUUUCUUAAGUCUGAUGUGAAAGCCCCCGGCUCAACCGGGGAGGGUCAUUGGAAACUGGGGAACUUGAGUGCAGAAGAGGAGAGUGGAAUUCCACGUGUAGCGGUGAAAUGCGUAGAGAUGUGGAGGAACACCAGUGGCGAAGGCGACUCUCUGGUCUGUAACUGACGCUGAGGAGCGAAAGCGUGGGGAGCGAACAGGAUUAGAUACCCUGGUAGUCCACGCCGUAAACGAUGAGUGCUAAGUGUUAGGGGGUUUCCGCCCCUUAGUGCUGCAGCUAACGCAUUAAGCACUCCGCCUGGGGAGUACGGUCGCAAGACUGAAACUCAAAGGAAUUGAC
This 860-nucleotide ribosomal RNA is filed under the name Bacillus tequilensis. RNAcentral's name for it is "bacterial SSU rRNA". It matches the Rfam family "Bacterial small subunit ribosomal RNA", at positions 71 to 914 of the family's 1533-position model. The record is from RNAcentral. Lineage: Bacteria; Bacillati; Bacillota; Bacilli; Caryophanales; Bacillaceae.